Molecule: ribosomal RNA, 653 nt
Filed under: unidentified microorganism
Description: bacterial SSU rRNA
Rfam family: Bacterial small subunit ribosomal RNA
Source: RNAcentral
ACACAUGCAGUCGAACGGUAAGGCCCNAGCUUGCUGGGGUACACGAGUGGCGAACGGGUGAGUAACACGUGGGUGACCUGCCCCGCACUUCGGGAUAAGCCUGGGAAACUGGGUCUAAUACCGGAUAGGACCGCACCGUGAGGGUGUGGUGGAAAGUUUUUCGGUGUGGGAUGGGCCCGCGGCCUAUCAGCUUGUUGGUGGGGUAAUGGCCUACCAAGGCGGCGACGGGUAGCCGGCCUGAGAGGGUGGACGGCCACAUUGGGACUGAGACACGGCCCAGACUCCUACGGGAGGCAGCAGUGGGGAAUAUUGCACAAUGGGCGGAAGCCUGAUGCAGCGACGCCGCGUGGGGGAUGACGGCCUUCGGGUUGUAAACUCCUUUCACCAUCGACGAAGGUUUUCUGACGGUAGAUGGAGAAGAAGCACCGGCUAACUACGUGCCAGCAGCCGCGGUAAUACGUAGGGUGCGAGCGUUGUCCGGAAUUACUGGGCGUAAAGAGCUCGUAGGUGGUUUGUCGCGUCGUCUGUGAAAUUCCGGGGCUUAACUCCGGGCGUGCAGGCGAUACGGGCAUAACUUGAGUACUGUAGGGGAGACUGGAAUUCCUGGUGUAGCGGUGAAAUGCGCAGAUAUCAGGAGGAACACCGGUGGCGAA